CGACCGGCAAACGGGUGCGGAACACGUACAGAACCUUCCUUUGAGCGGGGAAUAGCCCGGAGAAAUCCGGAUUAAUACCCCAUAGUAAAUUGAAAAGGCAUCUUUUUAAUUUUAAAGAUUUAUCACUCGAAGAUGGCUGUGCGCCUGAUUAGGUAGUUGGCGGAGUAACGGCCCACCAAGCCUUCGAUCAGUAACUGGUGUGAGAGCACGACCAGUCACACGGGCACUGAGACACGGGCCCG
Molecule: ribosomal RNA, 242 nt
Filed under: uncultured bacterium
Lineage: Bacteria
Description: partial 16S ribosomal RNA
Rfam family: Bacterial small subunit ribosomal RNA
Source: RNAcentral